This is a long non-coding RNA of Sebastes umbrosus (honeycomb rockfish), 369 nucleotides long. RefSeq lists it as uncharacterized. NCBI's taxonomy places the organism in Eukaryota, Metazoa, Chordata, Actinopteri, Perciformes, Sebastidae. The record is from RefSeq and is a predicted model, not a curated record. The transcript has 2 exons.
AAGAGGAUGAGGAGGUGGGCUCCCGUGUGGUGGCCAGGUGCUCCUUCUCAGGGUCCACGUCGAUGGAGUCCAGGCGGACCUGAGCUGUGCUGCGGGGCUGCCGCUCGUUCUGUACUGCUGCAGAGAGGAAAAGGAGCAAUCAUCAUGAGAUACAGCUGCAGUUUGGAUUGUUACCUCACAGUUUCACAUGCACUUCUUCAGCCGACACGCCUGGCACUGGUUGCGAUGAGCUUUGUCCACUGGACACAUGCCUGUACCGGCCUGGCACCUGUUAACCCACAACCAGGAUGUUAAAGGCAUAGUCCACUCAAAACCAGCAGACAAACUGCAUGUAGUAAUUACAAAGAAAUACACAUUUAUGCUAAAAUU